CUUGUGUGUGUGUUAUGAGCCUGAAAGAUUGUUUUAAGAUACAUGGCGUAUUUCAUAAAUAUGCCUGUUCAAGU
This is a long non-coding RNA of Octopus sinensis (East Asian common octopus), 74 nucleotides long. RefSeq lists it as uncharacterized. Lineage: Eukaryota; Metazoa; Mollusca; Cephalopoda; Octopoda; Octopodidae. The transcript has 3 exons. The record is from RefSeq and is a predicted model, not a curated record.